UUGAUCCUGGCUCAGGACGAACGCUGGCGGCGUGCCUAACACAUGCAAGUCGAGCGGAGUUUACUUGAUAGAUUCUUCGGAUGACGUCGAAUGAACUUAGCGGCGGACGGGUGAGUAACACGUAGGUAACCUGCCCAUCACACGGGGAUAGCUUCGGGAAACCGGAGGUAAUACCCGAUGUCUUUAUCGGACUAAGGUAAGAUAAAGAAAGCGUUAGCGGUGAUGGAUGGGCCUGCGUCCCAUUAGCUAGUUGGUGAGAUAACAGCCCACCAAGGCAACGAUGGGUAGCCGACCUGAGAGGGUGACCGGCCAGCACUGGACUUAGACACGCCAACUCCUACGGGAGGCUAGCAGUGGGGAAUUGCGCAAUGGGGACCCUGACGCAGCGACGCGCGUGAGCGAUGAAGGCUUCGGUCGUAGGCUCAGUCAUCGGGGAUGAUAAGGACAGUACCCGAAGAGAGCCCGGCUAACUACGUCCAGCAGCCGCGGUAAUACGUAGGGGCGAGCGUUGUCCUGGAAUUAUUGGGUGUAAAGGGCGUGUAGGCGGUGGUGUAGGUUAUCGGUAAAACCCAAAGCUAACUUUGGGCUUGCCGAAAACCCCAUCACUGAGUGCAGGAGAGGAAAGUGGAAUUCCCGGAGUAGCGGUGAAAUGCGUAGAUACCGGGAGGAACACCAGUGGCGAAGGACUUUCUGGCCUGCUACUGACGCUGAGGCGCGAAAGCUGGGGGAGCGAACGGGAUUAAUACCCCGGUAGUCCCAGCCGUAAACGAUGGUAACUAGGUGUGGGUAGUGGUCAAGCUAUCCGUGCCGGAGCUAACGCAAUAAGUUACCCACUGGGGAGUACGGUCGCAAGGCUGAAACUCAAAGGAAUUGACCGGGGGCCCCGCACAAGCGGUGGAGCAUGUGGUUUAAUUGAAGCAACCGAAGAACCUUCCAUGCCUUGACAUAUAGGUGGUAGAGAACUGAAGGGGAUCGACCUGAUGGAAACAGAAGGAGCCUAUACAGGUGGUGCAGGGUGUCGUCAGCUCGUGUCUGAAUGUUGGGUUAAGUCCCGCAACGACGCACCCCUAUACUUAGUGCCAGCACGUAGUGUGGGCACUCUAGUAGACUGCCGUCGACAAGACGGAAGGAAGUGGGGAUGUACUCAAAUCAUCAUGCCCUUUAUGGCAUGGGCUACACACGUGCUACAAUGGCCUGAACAACGGGAAGCGAAGGAGUGAUCCGGAGCCAACCCCACAAAUCAGGUCUCAGUUCGGAUUGCAGGCUGCAACUCGCCCGCAUGAAGUCGGAAUCGCUAGUAAUCGCGGAUCAGCAUGCCGCGGUGAGUACGUUCCCGGGCCUUGUACACACCGCCCGUCACACCACGAAAGUUGGCAACACCCGAAGCCGGGAUU
RNAcentral lists this ribosomal RNA (1394 nucleotides) under uncultured Thermoanaerobacterales bacterium. RNAcentral describes it as "bacterial SSU rRNA". It matches the Rfam family "Bacterial small subunit ribosomal RNA". The record is from RNAcentral. Lineage: Bacteria; Bacillati; Bacillota; Clostridia; Thermoanaerobacterales.